AGUUAAUGAGCUUGAAUAAGCUUAUGUUUUGAAAACAUAUCAUAGAAAUUAAAUUUUCUAUUAACUU
Molecule: transfer RNA, 67 nt
Filed under: Periscepsia handlirschi
Lineage: Eukaryota; Metazoa; Arthropoda; Insecta; Diptera; Tachinidae
Description: tRNA-Ser
Source: RNAcentral